GGGUCCAUUGUGAACUGUGGUUGUGAAUCAGUUUUUCUAGUGUGGCAGACUAAACUUGGAAUUUAAAUUGGUUGUAUAAAGUCUGCUGAGCUGAAGAAUUCAGGCUGAAAUUCUAUUUUUUUUUGUUCAUUACUUUUCAUUGGAUUCUUUUUAUUAACUUGCCUUUCUCAUAUAUUUUUUUUGUGUUAUGUGUGUUUUUGCAUAGCAGAGAUUGAAGACGACAGCGUAAGGCAGUCUGUAUUUUGCUUUCACUAAAAUCAUGGGUGUAGAUGUGGAAUCUAAGUUGGCUCAUGUAUCGGUUGAAACUGGAAGUGAGAAAGCUCCUGGCCUGGUGGUUUGAAGGAAAAUGUUGG
Long non-coding RNA from Ipomoea nil (Japanese morning glory), 353 nucleotides. RefSeq lists it as uncharacterized. NCBI's taxonomy places the organism in Eukaryota, Viridiplantae, Streptophyta, Magnoliopsida, Solanales, Convolvulaceae. The record is from RefSeq and is a predicted model, not a curated record. The transcript is spliced from 3 exons.